Molecule: non-coding RNA, 126 nt
Organism: Triticum aestivum (bread wheat)
Lineage: Eukaryota; Viridiplantae; Streptophyta; Magnoliopsida; Poales; Poaceae
Source: Rfam
AAGCUACUCCCUCCGUCUGAAAAUACUUGUCGAAGAAAUGAAUAAAAAUGAAUCUAUUUAGAACUAAAAUAUGUCUAAGAUACAUUCAUUUAUCCAACAAGUAUUUCCGGAAGGAGGGAGUAUAUU